GUGGGGAAUAUUGGACAAUGGGCGCAAGCCUGAUCCAGCCAUGCCGCGUGUGUGAAGAAGGCCUUCGGGUUGUAAAGCACUUUUGUUGGGGAAGAAACCGGCCGGACUAAUACUCCGGUUGAAUGACGGUACCCAAAGAAUAAGCACCGGCUAACUUCGUGCCAGCAGCCGCGGUAAUACGAAGGGUGCAAGCGUUACUCGGAAUUACUGGGCGUAAAGCGUGCGUAGGCGGUUUGUUAAGUCUGCUGUGAAAGCCCUGGGCUCAACCUGGGAACUGCAGUGGAUACUGGCAAGCUAGAGUGUGUCAGAGGAUGGUGGAAUUCCCGGUGUAGCGGUGAAAUGCGUAGAGAUCGGGAGGAACACCAGUGGCGAAGGCGGCCAUCUGGGACAACACUGACGCUGAGGCACGAAAGCGUGGGGAGCAAAC
Molecule: ribosomal RNA, 427 nt
Filed under: uncultured bacterium
Lineage: Bacteria
Description: bacterial SSU rRNA
Rfam family: Bacterial small subunit ribosomal RNA
Source: RNAcentral